UCUCUCUCUCUCUCUCUCUCUCUCUCUCUCUCUCUCUCUCUCUCUCUCUCUCUCUCUCUCUCUCACCCAAGCAAGGCUCUGAGCCUCUCAAAGUCUCAAUCUCUUUGAACAUCAAUCGAAUCUUUCGAACCAUUGCUACUGAGGAUCGAGGACUAAGUUUGAUCUUUGAGGGAGAAGAAGGCAAAGUUUGAAUCUGGUAGGUGCAGACUGCAGACCAUGCAGACCCAAAAUCUGGUGUCGUUCCUAAUCUCAACAAUUCAAGGAAUCAACUAAUCAAUGCCUCAUUAAACCUGGAGCAACAUAGGAGCACGGCAGUUGGUCGGUUUGGAGCAAGAUGUCAGUUUGUUUUCCAAGUUAGAUGAUGAAAAUGUUAUGUAUAUUAGUAUAUAUAUGUUAUAUGCUCUGUGCACUUUUGUUUGUAAGAAUUAGUGAUUUGUGAAUUGUUAUAUGUUUACACUUUUACUGUUAUAUGUUUAGCUUUGUGAAUUGUUUCAGCAA
This 498-nucleotide long non-coding RNA is filed under the name Rosa chinensis. Its description in RNAcentral is "sRNA RchiOBHm_Chr2g0115351". The record is from RNAcentral. Lineage: Eukaryota; Viridiplantae; Streptophyta; Magnoliopsida; Rosales; Rosaceae.